RNAcentral lists this ribosomal RNA (667 nucleotides) under Salmonella enterica subsp. enterica serovar Typhimurium. RNAcentral describes it as "bacterial SSU rRNA". It matches the Rfam family "Bacterial small subunit ribosomal RNA", at positions 878 to 1533 of the family's 1533-position model. Lineage: Bacteria; Pseudomonadati; Pseudomonadota; Gammaproteobacteria; Enterobacterales; Enterobacteriaceae. The record is from RNAcentral.
GAGUACGGCCGCAAGGUUAAAACUCAAAUGAAUUGACGGGGGCCCGCACAAGCGGUGGAGCAUGUGGUUUAAUUCGAUGCAACGCGAAGAACCUUACCUGGUCUUGACAUCCACAGAACUUUCCAGAGAUGGAUUGGUGCCUUCGGGAACUGUGAGACAGGUGCUGCAUGGCUGUCGUCAGCUCGUGUUGUGAAAUGUUGGGUUAAGUCCCGCAACGAGCGCAACCCUUAUCCUUUGUUGCCAGCGAUUAGGUCGGGAACUCAAAGGAGACUGCCAGUGAUAAACUGGAGGAAGGUGGGGAUGACGUCAAGUCAUCAUGGCCCUUACGACCAGGGCUACACACGUGCUACAAUGGCGCAUACAAAGAGAAGCGACCUCGCGAGAGCAAGCGGACCUCAUAAAGUGCGUCGUAGUCCGGAUUGGAGUCUGCAACUCGACUCCAUGAAGUCGGAAUCGCUAGUAAUCGUGGAUCAGAAUGCCACGGUGAAUACGUUCCCGGGCCUUGUACACACCGCCCGUCACACCAUGGGAGUGGGUUGCAAAAGAAGUAGGUAGCUUAACCUUCGGGAGGGCGCUUACCACUUUGUGAUUCAUGACUGGGGUGAAGUCGUAACAAGGUAACCGUAGGGGAACCUGCGGUUGGAUCACCUCCUUACCUUAAAGAAGC